CCUACGGGGGGCUGCAGUGGGGAAUAUUGGACAAUGGGGGCAACCCUGAUCCAGCCAUGCCGCGUGUGUGAAGAAGGCCCUCGGGUUGUAAAGCACUUUCAGUGAGGAAGAACGCCUGGUGGUUAAUACCCAUCAGGAAAGACAUCACUCACAGAAGAAGCACCGGCUAACUCCGUGCCAGCAGCCGCGGUAAUACGGAGGGUGCGAGCGUUAAUCGGAAUUACUGGGCGUAAAGCGCGCGUAGGUGGCUUGAUAAGCCGGUUGUGAAAGCCCCGGGCUCAACCUGGGAACGGCAUCCGGAACUGUCAAGCUAGAGUGCAGGAGAGGAAGGUAGAAUUCCCGGUGUAGCGGUGAGAUGCGUAGAGAUCGGGAGGAAUACCAGUGGCGAAGGCGGCCUUCUGGACUGACACUGACACUGAGGUGCGAAAGCGUGGGUAGCAAACAGGAUUAGAUACCCCUGUAGUC
RNAcentral lists this ribosomal RNA (465 nucleotides) under Vreelandella stevensii. Its description in RNAcentral is "partial 16S ribosomal RNA". It matches the Rfam family "Bacterial small subunit ribosomal RNA", at positions 338 to 795 of the family's 1533-position model. The record is from RNAcentral. Lineage: Bacteria; Pseudomonadati; Pseudomonadota; Gammaproteobacteria; Oceanospirillales; Halomonadaceae.